RNAcentral lists this ribosomal RNA (422 nucleotides) under uncultured bacterium. RNAcentral describes it as "bacterial SSU rRNA". It matches the Rfam family "Bacterial small subunit ribosomal RNA", at positions 355 to 774 of the family's 1533-position model. The record is from RNAcentral.
UAAGGAAUAUUCGACAAUGGAGGCAACUCUGAUCCAGCCAUGCCGCGUGAAGGAAUAAGGCCCUAUGGGUUGUAAACUUCUUUUAGACGGGACAAAACCCCUUUACGUGUAAAGGGUUGAUGGUACUGUCAGAAUAAGCAUCGGCUAACUUCGUGCCAGCAGCAGCGGUAAUACGAAGGAUGCAAGCGUUAUCCGGAAUUAUUGGGUUUAAAGGGUGCGUAGGCGGACUAAUAAGUCAGUGGUGAAAGCCUGCAGCUUAACUGCAGUAUUGCCAUGGAUACUGUUAGUCUUGAGUACAGUUGAGGUAGGCGUAAUGUGUCAUGUAGCGGUGAAAUGCUUAGAUAUGACACAGAACACCGAUUGCGAAGGCAGCUUGCUAAGCUGUAACUGACGCUGAGGCACGAAAGCGUGGGGAGCAAACA